This 66-nucleotide transfer RNA is filed under the name Sphingomonadales bacterium. RNAcentral's name for it is "tRNA-Thr". It matches the Rfam family "tRNA". From Rfam's summary of the family: Transfer RNA (tRNA) molecules are approximately 80 nucleotides in length. Their secondary structure includes four short double-helical elements and three loops (D, anti-codon, and T loops). Lineage: Bacteria; Pseudomonadati; Pseudomonadota; Alphaproteobacteria; Sphingomonadales. The record is from RNAcentral.
GCUUUAGCUCAGCUGGUAGAGCAUCGCAUUCGUAAUGCGGGGGUCACAGGUUCGAGUCCUGUAAGC